RNAcentral lists this ribosomal RNA (491 nucleotides) under uncultured bacterium. RNAcentral's name for it is "partial 16S ribosomal RNA". It matches the Rfam family "Bacterial small subunit ribosomal RNA", at positions 28 to 507 of the family's 1533-position model. The record is from RNAcentral.
GAUGAACGCUAGCUACAGGCUUAACACAUGCAAGUCGCGGGGCAGCAUGGGGGUUGCUUGCAACCCCUGAUGGCGACCGGCGCACGGGUGAGUAACGCGUAUCCAACCUGCCCUUCACCACGGGAUAACCCGGCGAAAGUCGGACUAAUACCGUAUGUUGUCCAUUGACGGCAUCCGAUUUGGACGAAAGGCUUGGCGGUGAGAGGGUGGGGAUGCGUCCGAUUAGCUUGACGGCGGGGUAACGGCCCACCGUGGCUACGAUCGGUAGGGGUUCUGAGAGGAAGGUCCCCCACACUGGAACUGAGACACGGUCCAGACUCCUACGGGAGGCAGCAGUGAGGAAUAUUGGUCAAUGGGCGUAAGCCUAAACCAGCCAAGUAGCGUGCAGGAUGACGGCCCUAUGGGUUGUAAACUGCUUUUAUGCGGGGAUAAAGUGGCCCACGUGUGGGCUUUUGCAGGUACCGCAUGAAUAAGGACCGGCUAAUUCCGUG